CCUACGGGAGGCAGCAGUGAGGAAUAUUGGACAAUGGGCGCAAGCCUGAUCCAGCCAUGCCGCGUGCAGGAAGACGGUCCUAUGGAUUGUAAACUGCUUUUAUACAGGAAGAAACACCUCUACGUGUAGAGACUUGACGGUACUGUAUGAAUAAGCAUCGGCUAACUCCGUGCCAGCAGCCGCGGUAAUACGGAGGAUGCAAGCGUUAUCCGGAAUCAUUGGGUUUAAAGGGUCCGUAGGCGGUUUAAUAAGUCAGUGGUGAAAGCCCAUCGCUCAACGAUGGAACGGCCAUUGAUACUGUUAAACUUGAAUUAUUAGGAAGUAACUAGAAUAUGUAGUGUAGCGGUGAAAUGCUUAGAGAUUACAUGGAAUACCAAUUGCGAAGGCAGGUUACUACUAAUAUAUUGACGCUGAUGGACGAAAGCGUGGGGAGCGAACAGGAUUAGAUACCCUGGUAGUCCACGCCGUAAACGAUGGAUACUAGCUGUUCGGAGCAAUCUGNGUGNGUAGAGAAGAGAUAGUAUACCACCGNGGAGUACGUCGCGAGAAGAGAAGACGAAGAGUAGUAGAGAGAGAGAGCGACGACGACGACGACGGAGGGAGGAGG
Molecule: ribosomal RNA, 607 nt
Filed under: uncultured bacterium
Lineage: Bacteria
Description: bacterial SSU rRNA
Rfam family: Bacterial small subunit ribosomal RNA (bases 1-530)
Source: RNAcentral